Long non-coding RNA from Herpailurus yagouaroundi (jaguarundi), 682 nucleotides. RefSeq lists it as uncharacterized. The record is from RefSeq and is a predicted model, not a curated record. The transcript has 3 exons. NCBI's taxonomy places the organism in Eukaryota, Metazoa, Chordata, Mammalia, Carnivora, Felidae.
UAUGCUUCUGACUGGACUCUAGUUUUCCACUUAACUCAGUUAUUCAGAUACUAAACAUGUAUCUGGCUGUUUGUUUUGGUAUACACAUUUUCCCGCGUUCUUUCUUUCCUUUUGUAUAGCCUGUAGAGGAUAAAACCCACAGUAACCCAUUCAUCAAGCAUCCUCUGAGUUGCCGCUCUGGGGCAUAGAAGGUGUACCUCGAGUGAAACUGGCUGAGACACUACACUGCAUCUUCAAAUGGACAGUGGGACGGGGGUGGGGGGCCCAUCAGGAGCCAACAGAACUCACCCAGAAGCAACUCAGGGCACGUCAGGCACUCCCUGGAAGAGUCGAUUUGACUUCUCCUAUCUGGAUUUCUACAGACUCCCCUGUCACUCUCAGGAUAAAGUCUCAGCUCCUGAGAUGGAUACAAGGUCUUCUGUGGUCUUUCUUCUGCCCACGCUUUCAGCCAAAUCUCCCACGAGCCAUGACAAAGCAACUGUGAAUUUCUCAAGACAGAACGAUGUGAGUUAUCGACCUUCUGAAGUCAUACUUCUCAGCCUUGAAUCCCAGCCCUACCCGUUGCCAAAUAUGGAUUCUUGGGCCAGUAACUUAACCGUUCCGUGCCUCAGUUUUAUCUUUUUUGAAACUUUGGCCCUCAAAGGGGCACCUGGGGGACUCAGUCAGUUAAGCGUCCGACUUC